AGCAACACAGUACAAUACAACACAAAGAAGUAUGCAAUUCCAUGAGAAAAGGAUUAAACAAAUCUUCUUAAGAAAAGGGAAUAAAUUUGCAGGCAGAAGAUUAUACUGAACCAGACUAAAAAAAGAACAAAGAACAGAAGGAUUUGGUUAAUAACAAGAAGGG
Long non-coding RNA from Ipomoea nil (Japanese morning glory), 163 nucleotides. RefSeq lists it as uncharacterized. The transcript is spliced from 3 exons. The record is from RefSeq and is a predicted model, not a curated record. NCBI's taxonomy places the organism in Eukaryota, Viridiplantae, Streptophyta, Magnoliopsida, Solanales, Convolvulaceae.